AGCUAUUGUUGUAUGCAAAUUCUGAUAGUGAAAGGUAUCUGUCCCAGCUUCCCUCAAACACAAUAACACAACUUCUUAGCAUAUCCUAGAGGACUUAUCACAUAUGUUCGGUUAUUAUUAUCAUUAUCAGUUCAAUUUAUUGUUUGCAAUAACUCAAUGAGUUUCAGAAUUUACCUGGAUUAUUCUUUCUGACUAUCCAUCCGUCUGAGGAUGAAAAGUCAUACUAAAAUGGAGUUGUGUGCCCAAGGAUUCUUGUAAUUUCUUCCAAAAUCUAGAUGUAAACCUCGGGUCUCUAUCAAAUAUAAUGGAAAGAGGAAUUCCAUGUAGUCUAAUUAUUUCUGUAACACCCUGAACCUUCG
Molecule: unclassified non-coding RNA, 359 nt
Filed under: Hevea brasiliensis (rubber tree)
Lineage: Eukaryota; Viridiplantae; Streptophyta; Magnoliopsida; Malpighiales; Euphorbiaceae
Source: RNAcentral